UGACACAGGGAGGUAGUGACAAGAAAUAACAAUACAGGGCUCUUCGAGUCUUGUAAUUGGAAUGAGUACAAUUUACAUCUCUUCACGAGGAUCAAUUGGAGGGCAAGUCUGGUGCCAGCAGCCGCGGUAAUUCCAGCUCCAAUAGCGUAUAUUAAAGUUGUUGCAGUUAGAACGCUCGUAGUCGGAUUUCGGGGCGGGCCGACCGGUCUGCCGAUGGGUACGCACUGGUCGGCGCGUCCUUCCUUCCGGAGACCGUGCCUACUCUUAACUGAGCGGGGGCGGGAGACGGAACGUUUACUUUGAAAAAAUCAGAGUGUUUCAAGCAGGCAGCUCGCUCUUGCAUGGAUUAGCAUGGGAUAAUGAAAUAGGACUUUGGUGCUAUUUUGUUGGUUUCGACC
This 398-nucleotide ribosomal RNA is filed under the name Haptophyta sp. RNAcentral describes it as "SSU rRNA". It matches the Rfam family "Eukaryotic small subunit ribosomal RNA", at positions 452 to 855 of the family's 1831-position model. The record is from RNAcentral. Lineage: Eukaryota; Haptophyta.